This 434-nucleotide ribosomal RNA is filed under the name uncultured Glomus. RNAcentral's name for it is "SSU rRNA". It matches the Rfam family "Eukaryotic small subunit ribosomal RNA", at positions 597 to 1036 of the family's 1831-position model. The record is from RNAcentral. Lineage: Eukaryota; Fungi; Glomeromycota; Glomeromycetes; Glomerales; Glomeraceae.
GCGUAUAUUAAAGUUGUUGCAGUUAAAAGCUCGUAGUUGAAUUUCGGGGUCAGCAGGUUGGUCGUGCCACUGGUAUGUACUGGCUUCGCUGAUUCCUCCUUUCUGAAGAACUGUAAUGUCAUUAAUUUGGUGUUGCAGGGAAACAGGACUGUUACUUUGAAAAAAUUAGAGUGUUUAAAGCAGGCUAACGCUUGAAUACAUUAGCAUGGAAUAAUGAAAUAGGACAUUCAAACCUAUUUUGUUGGUUUCUAGGAUUGACGUAAUGAUUAAUAGGGAUAGUUGGGGGCAUUAGUAUUCAAUUGUCAGAGGUGAAAUUCUUGGAUUUAUUGAAGACUAACUACUGCGAAAGCAUUUGCCAAGGAUGUUUUCAUUAAUCAAGAACGAAAGUUAGGGGAUCGAAGACGAUCAGAUACCGUCGUAGUCUUAACCAUAAA